GGGGCUGUAACUCAGUGGUAAGAGUGCCUGUGGUGUCUAGCAGGAAGUCGCGAGUACCCUACGGGAAGUCUGCGCCUACGACUCUCGUCAUCCCCG
RNAcentral lists this transfer RNA (96 nucleotides) under cf. Phormidesmis sp. LEGE 11477. RNAcentral's name for it is "tRNA-OTHER". The record is from RNAcentral. Lineage: Bacteria; Bacillati; Cyanobacteriota; Cyanophyceae; Leptolyngbyales; Leptolyngbyaceae.